GGUAGGAUGGCUGAUUGUAAAGCGGUAGGUUGUAGCCCUAAAAAUAGGGGUUUAAUUCCCCUUUCUGCCA
This 70-nucleotide transfer RNA is filed under the name Phractolaemus ansorgii (hingemouth). RNAcentral describes it as "tRNA-Tyr". It matches the Rfam family "tRNA". Rfam says of the family: Transfer RNA (tRNA) molecules are approximately 80 nucleotides in length. Their secondary structure includes four short double-helical elements and three loops (D, anti-codon, and T loops). The record is from RNAcentral. Lineage: Eukaryota; Metazoa; Chordata; Actinopteri; Gonorynchiformes; Kneriidae.